GAUGAAGAACGUAGCGAAAUGCGAUAAGUAAUAUGAAUUGCAGAAUUCAGUGAAUCAUCGAGUCUUUGAACGCACAUUGCGCCCCCUGGUAUUCCGGGGGGCAUGCCUGUCCGAGCGUCAUUGCUGCCCUCAAGCACGGCUUGUGUGUUGGGCCCCCGUCCCCGGUUUCCCCCGGGGACGGGCCCGAAAGGCAGCGGCGGCACCGCGUCCGGUCCUCGAGCGUAUGGGGCUUUGUCACCCGCUCUGUAGGCCCGGCCGGCGCCAGCCGACACCCAACUUUAUUUCUAAGGUUGACCUCGGAUCAGGUAGGGAUACCCGCUGAACUUAAGCAUAUCAAUAAGCGGAGGA
This 348-nucleotide unclassified non-coding RNA is filed under the name soil metagenome. RNAcentral's name for it is "partial contains 5.8S ribosomal RNA, internal transcribed spacer 2, and large subunit ribosomal RNA". The stretch from base 1 to 120 matches the Rfam family "5.8S ribosomal RNA", at positions 35 to 154 of the family's 154-position model. The record is from RNAcentral.